This 188-nucleotide small nuclear RNA is filed under the name Oncorhynchus tshawytscha (Chinook salmon). RNAcentral describes it as "U2 spliceosomal RNA". It matches the Rfam family "U2 spliceosomal RNA". Rfam says of the family: U2 is a small nuclear RNA (snRNA) component of the spliceosome (involved in pre-mRNA splicing). The record is from Rfam by way of RNAcentral. Lineage: Eukaryota; Metazoa; Chordata; Actinopteri; Salmoniformes; Salmonidae.
AUCGCUUCUCGGCCUUUUGGCUCAGAUCAAGUGUAGUAUCUGUUCUUAUCAGUUUAAUAUCUGAUACGUCCCCCAUCGGGGACUACAUAUUAAAUGGAUUUUUCGAACAGGGAUCGGAAAUGGGGCUGCUCCGUCCGCUCCACGCAUCGACCGCGUAUUGCAGUACCUCCGGGAACGGUGCAACACUU